Molecule: ribosomal RNA, 254 nt
Filed under: uncultured bacterium
Lineage: Bacteria
Description: partial 16S ribosomal RNA
Rfam family: Bacterial small subunit ribosomal RNA
Source: RNAcentral
UACGUAGGCAGCAAGCGUUGUUCGGAAUUACUGGGCGUAAAGAGUGUGUAGGCGGUGUUCUAAGUCUGUUGUGAAAUCUCCCGGCUUAACUGGGAGGGUGCGGCGGAAACUGGAAUGCUAGAGGAUGGGAGAGGUAAGCGGAAUUCCUGGUGUAGCGGUGAAAUGCGUAGAUAUCGGGAGGAACACCAGUGGCGAAGGCGGUUGCCUGGAGCUUUGCUGACGCUGAGGCGCGAAAGCGUGGGGAGCGAGUCCGG